UAACAGUGUCGUCAAGUGUCAGAAUUGGAACAGAAUCGUCUGUCAGUUCCAUACAAAUGCGCGUUCCAAACGAGCAGGAGACCUGUCAAACGUGACACAUGACGUUACUCUUCUUAUAGGACUCUACUAUUAUCGUUCCCAUUUAUCGCGUGAAAUUUAUUUCUUUGACUUUGAAGUGAAACAUUCUUCAAAACUAUUCCCCAUCAACGUUGUGACUCAUGGAUUGCCGUGUGAAAACAUUCAUUGAAGAAAUUUUGACCGAAAGUACCAAGCCUUGCAAAAGGGGCAAAAGGGCCAACCUAAACAGAAGUACCAACAGCAUGAUGAAGAUAACAGAAAACUGCACCACUGCCAAAGCUACAGUCGAUCAAUUCAGCCGCGAUGGGAUCAGUUUAAAAACUACCCCAAUAGCACCCAAGUCUCAGAGACUGUCGAAACUAUCGGGACUAGAGCUCCUAAACUGAUGUGUUGGUGUUGCUGAUCUCCGUUCCAACUAGUUGAGGUUAGAGGUUUGAGGAUAUGCGCGAUUCGUGCGAAAACACCGAUUGUUCCAUUUUUGUGAACACAGGCUCUUCCUGGGAACGAAAACGAUCAUAUGUUGUCAGCGAAUGAAGUAACAGCUUAACUGCUGCGACUUAUGUUCCAACCAAUUAUUACUUCUCACCUUAAACGUUCCUCCCUAUAUCCUCAAUUUCACAAAACACCGUUGUUAAUUGUACUGACAUUAUGUUAGACACCAGAAGUAAUAGAACGCUGUUGAAAGAGCUAAAAUUAAUCAACAGCAGCAUCCGGAAAGAGUUGAUGGAAGUUCCUCGUACAGCAGUACUCAGUAAACAUAAUAUAUCUGGUCGCGUUCGGGGAGCAAUCUUUCUACAAGCUGGAGUGCAUGGUCGUAUGUAAGUUCUUCGAAACAAGAAUACUCUAUAGUAGCGAAAGGCAUCACAUCAAACACUUCAACAUCCAAUUCGAGCGAUUCCAAACAGCACAAUAGCGAUACCAUUAGGAUUUACGACAAUACUGACCUGGAGCGGAGAUCAAUCAGUCUUGGCUUCUCUAUAGGACAAUCCUUAAAUCAUCUCGAUGUCGACGAUUCACACCACCAAAACGAUUCCGGCUGUACAGGCCUAUAUCGAUGGACGGUUGCUAAUUCAAGAAAAUGUUGCUGCCGUGAAUGAUUCCGACGAUAUUGUUGGUGGCGAUUCAUCGGUAUCCAGUUCUCGACAACAAGUCGCACAGAAAACCCCCUAAUUAGCUUGAAUACGUCGAUUCACAUCACUAAAGUGAUCUUGGGUGAAGCGAUGUUGUGGUAUAUGUCCAUGGACGAACAAUAUCGUGACGUGAUCGAUAUGGAUACAUUAUGUAGGUCAUAUAGUACGGCACAAACUGAAUAAAAUUAGAACUAGCAAACAAAAACUUAAUUGAAAAAGAAACAAUGGCAUAUAAUAAGUACGUGUAAACUUCUGUUUCUCCAGCUGAACAUACAUUGUUACAUCUACUUACUUUUUGCCAUUUGUGU
This is a long non-coding RNA of Armigeres subalbatus, 1516 nucleotides long. RefSeq lists it as uncharacterized. The record is from RefSeq and is a predicted model, not a curated record. Lineage: Eukaryota; Metazoa; Arthropoda; Insecta; Diptera; Culicidae. The transcript is spliced from 3 exons.